RNAcentral lists this ribosomal RNA (648 nucleotides) under Triticum aestivum (bread wheat). RNAcentral's name for it is "partial small subunit ribosomal RNA". Lineage: Eukaryota; Viridiplantae; Streptophyta; Magnoliopsida; Poales; Poaceae. The record is from RNAcentral.
AUGAAUCUGUUUCGGCUCGCCGGGGACAUGACCCACCUCGUCAGCGUGGUGGUGCUGCUCCUCAAGAUCCACACCAUCAAGUCGUGCGCAGGCAUAUCUCUGAAGACGCAGGAGCUAUACGCACUAGUUUUUGCAGCUCGCUACCUGGAUCUGUUUGUGCAUUUUGUAUCUUUGUAUAACACCGUCAUGAAGCUGGUCUUCCUGGCGAGCUCUUUCUCAAUAGUUUGGUACAUGAGGAAGCAUAAGAUCGUGCGUAGGACCUAUGACAGGGAGCACGACACCUUUCGCCAUCAUUUCAUAGUGCUGCCAUGUUUGGUUCUGGCUCUCCUCAUCAAUGAGAGAUUUACCUUUAGAGAGGUAAUGUGGGCAUUCUCCAUUUACUUGGAAGCCGUAGCAAUUCUGCCUCAACUUGUGUUGCUACAGCGCACAAGGAAUAUUGACAACUUGACUGGCCAAUAUGUCUUUUUCUUGGGUGCCUACCGCGUACUUUAUAUCCUCAACUGGAUUUACCGAUACUUCACUGAGCCCCAUUUUGUUCACUGGAUAAGCUGGAUUGCGGGUAUCGUGCAGACUAUGCUGUAUGCUGACUUCUUCUACUAUUACAUAAUAAGCUGGAAGAACAACGUGAAGCUAGAGCUACCAGCCUGA